This 264-nucleotide ribosomal RNA is filed under the name uncultured archaeon. RNAcentral's name for it is "partial 16S ribosomal RNA". It matches the Rfam family "Archaeal small subunit ribosomal RNA", at positions 719 to 982 of the family's 1478-position model. The record is from RNAcentral.
ACAGUCACACAUUAGACUACCCGGUAGUCCCAGCCGUAAACUAUGUGCGUUAGGUGUAUCGGUGACCACGAGUCACCGAGGUGCCGAAGGGAAACCGUGAAACGUGCCGCCUGGGAAGUACGGUCGCAAGGCUGAAACUUAAAGGAAUUGGCGGGGAGCACCACAACGGGUGGAGCCUGCGGUUUAAUUGGACUCAACGCCGGGAAGCUCACCGGAUAAGACAGCGGAAUGAUUGCCGGGCUGAAGACUCUGCAUGACUAGCUG